RNAcentral lists this ribosomal RNA (492 nucleotides) under uncultured bacterium. RNAcentral's name for it is "partial 16S ribosomal RNA". It matches the Rfam family "Bacterial small subunit ribosomal RNA", at positions 29 to 507 of the family's 1533-position model. The record is from RNAcentral.
AUUGAACGCUGGCGGCAUGCUUUACACAUGCAAGUCGAACGGUAACAGGCCUUCGGGUGCUGACGAGUGGCGAACGGGUGAGUAAUGCAUCGGAACGUACCCAGAGGUGGGGGAUAACGCGGCGAAAGCUGUGCUAAUACCGCAUGUGAUCUGAGGAUGAAAGCGGGGGACCGAGCAGCAAUGUUUGGCCUCGCGCCUUUGGAGCGGCCGAUGUCGGAUUAGCUAGUUGGUGGGGUAAAGGCCUACCAAGGCGACGAUCCGUAGCUGGUCUGAGAGGACGACCAGCCGCGCUGGGACUGAGACACGGCCCAGACUCCUACGGGAGGCAGCAGUGGGGAAUUUUGGACAAUGGGCGCAAGCCUGAUCCAGCAAUGCCGCGUGCGGGAAGAAGGCCUUGGGGUUGUAAACCGCUUUUGGCAGGAACGAAACGGUGUCCGCUAAUACCGGGCGCUAAUGACGGUACCUGCAGAAUAAGCACCGGCUAACUACGUG